Non-coding RNA from Ornithorhynchus anatinus (platypus), 138 nucleotides. NCBI's taxonomy places the organism in Eukaryota, Metazoa, Chordata, Mammalia, Monotremata, Ornithorhynchidae. The record is from Rfam.
UCCCUCUCAGGGUCGCAACUGGAGAGUUUCCAGUACUCCACCAGUCUCAGUUACAGGAGGGAAAGUCAAGCAGAGGCCUACCCAUUCAAUUCUUAGCUUGGGCCGUGGAUAGUGAGUUGAAGGCAAUCUGCUACAAAU